RNAcentral lists this ribosomal RNA (253 nucleotides) under uncultured bacterium. RNAcentral describes it as "partial 16S ribosomal RNA". It matches the Rfam family "Bacterial small subunit ribosomal RNA", at positions 524 to 776 of the family's 1533-position model. The record is from RNAcentral.
UACGUAGGUCGCAAGCGUUGUCCGGAUUUACUGGGCGUAAAGAGCGCGCAGGCGGCUGGUCAAGUCCGAUGUGAAAUCUCCCGGCUCAACUGGGAAACUGCAUCGGAAACUGAUCGGCUUGAAGAUGGGAGAGGGUAGUGGAAUUCCCGGUGUAGUGGUGAAAUGCGCAGAUAUCAGGAAGAACACCGAUGGCGAAAGCAGCUCUCUGGGACGGUACUGACGCUGAGGCGCGAAAGCGUGGGGAGCGAACAGG